Schistosoma rodhaini is the source of this 46-nucleotide non-coding RNA. NCBI's taxonomy places the organism in Eukaryota, Metazoa, Platyhelminthes, Trematoda, Strigeidida, Schistosomatidae. The record is from Rfam.
GUACUGCUGAGGAGUCCUACAACAGGAUGAAACAGCCGUCCAGUAC